Molecule: ribosomal RNA, 432 nt
Filed under: uncultured bacterium
Lineage: Bacteria
Description: partial 16S ribosomal RNA
Rfam family: Bacterial small subunit ribosomal RNA
Source: RNAcentral
AACGAACGCUGGCGGCAUGCCUAACACAUGCAAGUCGAACGAAACCUUCGGGUCUAUUGGCGCACGGGGGCGUAACGCGGGGGAAGCUGCCCUUAGGUUCGGAAUAACUCCCUGAAAGGGGUGCUAAUACCGGAUAAUGUCUUCGGACCAAGGAUUUAUCGCCUUUUGAUGGGGCCGGGUUGGUUUAGCUGGUUGGGAGGGUAAAAGCCUACUAAGGCGACGAUCCGUCGCUGGUGUGAGAGGAUGCUCAGCCAGACUGGGAUUGGGACACGGCCCAGACUCGUACGGGAGGCGGCAGAGAGGAAAAUAGGACAAGGGGCGAAAGGCAGAUCCAGCGAGGCCGGGUGAGUGGUGAUGGGGUUAGGAUUGUAAAGCUCUUUUACCCGAGAUGAUAAUAACAGAACCGGGAGAAUAAGCCCCGCCUAACUCCGG